UGUCCGGAAAUCCCGAAGAGAGUUUCGGGAGUUGCUCGCAAGAGAGCCGGAACACAGGUGCUGCAUGGCUGUCGUCAGCUCGUGUCGUGAGAUGUUGGGUUAAGUCCCGCAACGAGCGCAACCCUUGUCAUUAGUUGCCAUCAUUUGGUUGGGCACUCUAAUGAGACUGCCGGUGACAAACCGGAGGAAGGUGGGGAUGACGUCAAGUCCUCAUGGCCCUUAUGGGUAGGGCUUCACACGUCAUACAAUGGUCGGUACAGAGGGUUGCCAACCCGCGAGGGGGAGCUAAUCCCACAAAGCCGAUCGUAGUCCGGAUCGCAGUCUGCAACUCGACUGCGUGAAGUCGGAAUCGCUAGUAAUCGUGGAUCAGCAUGUCACGGUGAAUACGUUCCCGGGUCUU
This 400-nucleotide ribosomal RNA is filed under the name uncultured Rhodocyclaceae bacterium. Its description in RNAcentral is "bacterial SSU rRNA". It matches the Rfam family "Bacterial small subunit ribosomal RNA", at positions 987 to 1382 of the family's 1533-position model. Lineage: Bacteria; Pseudomonadati; Pseudomonadota; Betaproteobacteria; Rhodocyclales; Rhodocyclaceae. The record is from RNAcentral.